CCUACGUGCGGCAGCAGUGGGGAAUAUUGGACAAUGGGCGAAAGCCUGAUCCAGCCAUGCCGCGUGUGUGAAGAAGGCCUUCGGGUUGUAAAGCACUUUCAGUGGGGAAGAAAGCCUUGGGGCUAAUACCCUCGAGGAAGGACAUCACCCACAGAAGAAGCACCGGCUAACUCCGUGCCAGCAGCCGCGGUAAUACGGAGGGUGCGAGCGUUAAUCGGAAUUACUGGGCGUAAAGCGCGCGUAGGCGGUCUGAUAAGCCGGUUGUGAAAGCCCCGGGCUCAACCUGGGAACGGCAUCCGGAACUGUCAGGCUAGAGUGCAGGAGAGGAAGGUAGAAUUCCCGGUGUAGCGGUGAAAUGCGUAGAGAUCGGGAGGAAUACCAGUGGCGAAGGCGGCCUUCUGGACUGACACUGACGCUGAGGUGCGAAAGCGUGGGUAGCAAACAGGAUUAGAUACCCUGGUCGUC
This 465-nucleotide ribosomal RNA is filed under the name Vreelandella stevensii. RNAcentral's name for it is "partial 16S ribosomal RNA". It matches the Rfam family "Bacterial small subunit ribosomal RNA", at positions 338 to 795 of the family's 1533-position model. Lineage: Bacteria; Pseudomonadati; Pseudomonadota; Gammaproteobacteria; Oceanospirillales; Halomonadaceae. The record is from RNAcentral.